ACACGAGAAGGGAGGUGGUUCGGCAGAUGUAUGAAAACCGGACGCGUGAGGUGGCUGCGGGCUAAGCGGUCCGCCACCCCAUCCAGUGCGGUGCCGGACCAGCACGUGCCACAAGCGUGCAGCCGGCCCAAUCCCAAGCAGUCACCCGACCCGCGAGCUCGCCGGCACGUCCGGCCGGCUUCUGCCGCCGCAAGGUGGCGGAACCCGAGCUCGCGGGUCGUCUGCG
Molecule: small RNA, 226 nt
Filed under: Streptomyces pluripotens
Lineage: Bacteria; Bacillati; Actinomycetota; Actinomycetes; Kitasatosporales; Streptomycetaceae
Description: Actinobacteria sRNA Ms_IGR-5
Rfam family: Actinobacteria sRNA Ms_IGR-5
Source: Rfam by way of RNAcentral